UACAGAGGGGGCAAGCGUUGUUCGGAAUUACUGGGCGUAAAGGGCGCGUAGGUGGCCUUCUAAGUCGAACGUGAAAUCCCUGGGCUCAACCCAGGAACUGCGUCCGAUACUGGAAGGCUUGAAUCCGGGAGAGGGAUGCGGAAUUCCAGGUGUAGCGGUGAAAUGCGUAGAUAUCUGGAGGAACACCGGUGGCGAAGGCGGCAUCCUGGACCGGCAUUGACGCUGAGGCGCGAAAGCCAGGGGAGCAAACGGG
This 253-nucleotide ribosomal RNA is filed under the name uncultured bacterium. RNAcentral's name for it is "partial 16S ribosomal RNA". It matches the Rfam family "Bacterial small subunit ribosomal RNA", at positions 524 to 776 of the family's 1533-position model. The record is from RNAcentral.